RNAcentral lists this ribosomal RNA (497 nucleotides) under uncultured bacterium. RNAcentral's name for it is "partial 16S ribosomal RNA". It matches the Rfam family "Bacterial small subunit ribosomal RNA", at positions 28 to 507 of the family's 1533-position model. The record is from RNAcentral.
GAUGAACGCUGGCGGCGUGCCUAAUACAUGCAAGUCGAGCGAACAGACGAGGAGCUUGCUCCUCUGACGUUAGCGGCGGACGGGUGAGUAACACGUGGAUAACCUACCUAUAAGACUGGGAUAACUUCGGGAAACCGGAGCUAAUACCGGAUAAUAUAUUGAACCGCAUGGUUCAAUAGUGAAAGACGGUUUUGCUGUCACUUAUAGAUGGAUCCGCGCCGCAUUAGCUAGUUGGUAAGGUAACGGCUUACCAAGGCGACGAUGCGUAGCCGACCUGAGAGGGUGAACCGCCAAAAUGGGACUGAGGCACGGUCCAGACUCCUACGGGAGGCAGCAGUAGGGAAUCUUCCGCAAUGGGCGAAAGCCUGACGGAGCAACGCCGCGUGAGUGAUGAAGGUCUUCGGAUCGUAAAACUCUGUUAUUAGGGAAGAACAAAUGUGUAAGUAACUAUGCACGUCUUGACGGUACCUAAUCAGAAAGCCACGGCUAACUACGUG